Pelobates cultripes (western spadefoot toad) is the source of this 218-nucleotide non-coding RNA. The record is from the annotation of a GenBank genome assembly. NCBI's taxonomy places the organism in Eukaryota, Metazoa, Chordata, Amphibia, Anura, Pelobatidae.
CGACGACCAGGUACUGCUGCCUGUGAAUGGGUGCCAUUCACUGGAGCACCUGUGUUCGGUUAUAAUAAUGGUGGCCACCCAAGGAAAGCAGUCAAGUUAAUUACUUAAAAGUGGUGGGUCGAUGUUUGGGGAUGUAUAAAAGGACCACACAUCAUCCAUUAGGGAAACGAAGAAUGGGGGUACAGUCUGCUACAGGUUAGUGUUAGGAUGAGGGCUAG